GUCUCUAAGCAAUGGAUGUCUUGGCUCCUCACACGAUGAAGAACGUGGCAUAAUG
This 55-nucleotide ribosomal RNA is filed under the name Trichomonas vaginalis G3. RNAcentral's name for it is "5.8S ribosomal RNA". It matches the Rfam family "5.8S ribosomal RNA", at positions 1 to 55 of the family's 154-position model. From Rfam's summary of the family: 5.8S ribosomal RNA (5.8S rRNA) is a component of the large subunit of the eukaryotic ribosome. It is transcribed by RNA polymerase I as part of the 45S precursor that also contains 18S and 28S rRNA. The record is from Rfam by way of RNAcentral. Lineage: Eukaryota; Parabasalia; Trichomonadida; Trichomonadidae.